GACUGCUGGACUGAGGGCCUCAGUUUCUUGAUGGAAGCCACCUUCAAAUCCUAGAGGACACCUGAAGUUCCUUGACAUGUGGCCUCCCCAUCAUGGGAUCCUCCUUCAUUACAGCCAGCAAGGAAGAGAGGACCUCCUGACAUAUCCCAAAUUCUACUGAUACAUGAAUCAAGAGAAGCUUCUCAAGUUAUAGAUCUCAGAGUAAAUAUAUAUACCAUCCUAUCCCAAUCCAUCUUGCUCUAAAUACUGCUUUUUCUGAGGCUGUCAAAAGCACAAGCUGCCAUGGUAAUGACAGGAAGAUAUGGGUGAAAUGCCAGCCCUAAUUAGAGACUUGAUUGCUCUGUAAUAACAAGGCCUGUAUUUGAUUUGGACGGUUCUGGGUUGUCAGGUAAAAUGAAUUAAAUAUGUCUGCACUUUCAUUUCAAAAUGUGAAAAAUGUGAAUGUGCAUUAUUUAUAUUGUAUUUCAUGGCUAUAAUUAAUUAUGUGUCUGUGGACAUGAUGUCCCAAAGACAGUUGAUUUUAUGUUCAAUCUGUAUGUGCAUUUGUAAAACUAAUUUGUUCUCAUUAAAAUUUUUAAGGGUUUAUUCGAGUUAAACUCAGGAGGCCUUUCUGGGUAUACAACUCACAAAAUACAAAGCAAAAGUCGAAUUUACAUUUUUUUUGCUAGUAAACUAUUCAAUGCCUGAAGCAUUGUACUAGAUAUUAUUGUAGUGAAUAUGGUGGGCUAUAAAAAUAAAGAGAAGACAUACUUCCUUUUCAGAUAGUGCUUUUAAACUUGUUUGGAAGACUUCGGUAUAAAACAAAUGAACAUAAUGCAACCUGAGCUUCUAUUACUUAGUAAAAGAACAUUGUGUUUUGUCAAAGAAAUAUUAAGUCUGUAUGAUGAGUUGAACAGUUUUUCUUGUGAAUAUCCUAUAGAAAUGUGGAAGAUAUUUUGCUUUCUAAAACACUGUUCGGAAUUUCUUCCAGUUGUAAUUUUUAAUAUUUGCUAAAUGUAUCAACCAUUAAUAUUAAAAUUUUCAAAUAUAUUCUCUCAAGUAGUAUAAAGCUUUUUUUCUUAUCAGUGACAGCAGUACUUUCAAGCAGACCCACAAAUGAACUUCAAUACUGAAAAUAAUUUGUGUAUCUCAAGUUCACUAACAUUAAUUCUCUUCAUUGUAGUUGGAUAUCGUUGCAGUUAUUAAAGCAAUAUUUACCAAAAAA
Molecule: long non-coding RNA, 1204 nt
Organism: Homo sapiens (human)
Lineage: Eukaryota; Metazoa; Chordata; Mammalia; Primates; Hominidae
Source: Ensembl